RNAcentral lists this long non-coding RNA (582 nucleotides) under Rattus norvegicus (Norway rat). RNAcentral's name for it is "long non-coding RNA NONRATT008192". The record is from RNAcentral. Lineage: Eukaryota; Metazoa; Chordata; Mammalia; Rodentia; Muridae.
CCUGUAUGGCCACUACACAGGUCGUUUGUUCCUCAGAACUGCAGAUGCCCUGUGUGACUCCAGAAGCGGUUAGAAGGAUCAGGCGUGGCUAUCUCCAUUUGCAGCUGAGGUGGCCAAGAGAUAAGAGUUGCUUAAGGCCAUAGUUAGCAAACAACAAAACGGGUUUCCACACAGAGAUCGGUCUCUGAGCCUGACCAUCCACUUACUGCAGGAGAACGAAAUUCUUGACAUUUUGGUUUAUCUGGUAGCUUCAAAGGUAAAAACGGACAUUUUCUAAGAAGGCUGCCAUUCGCUUGUUUUGCAAUUGAAGCAGAGUGAGUUUGCUACAGCAGAGGGACUUUGCAUUGGAUUUUGAAGUUUGUUGCGUUUCUGAAACACGGUCUUACUGUGUAGGUCAAGCUAGCCUUGAACUCCCUUCAGGUCUCUCACCUAGUUCUGGGAUUGCAGGCCUAGACCACCAUGCCCUCCACUCUUCAUUUAAAUGGUUUUUAAAAUCCCCUACUAUUGUUUGUGCACUGAUGGAAUUUGAGGUUUUGUAAUAGAAGUCGUGUUGUCCGAGCGGCGCCUUCCAGUUCCCGGUUU